AUGGGUUACGUGGCGGUGGCGACGGACGAGGGAGUUGCAGCACUGGGAAGGCGCGACAUCGUCGUGGUGUGGCGCGGCACCGAGAACGAGCUGGAGUGGGAGAAAGACAAGCACUUCCUUCAGGUGCCUGCCGCGCCCGUGUUGGGCCGCUAUGCUGACGGAGAGCACAAGAACGCCAAGGUGCACCGUGGCUUCCUAUCCGUGUACACGUCCAGUGACAACAACUCCAUGUACAACAAGACCAGCGCCAGAGAGCAGGUUCUCGAGGAGGUAGGGAGGCUAAUGGAGGAGUACAAGGACGAGGUGACCAGCAUCACCGUCACCGGCCACAGCCUUGGCGCGUCACUUGCCACCCUCACCGCCAUCGACAUGGUGGCCAACGACGUCAACGUGCCCCCUGCCUCGAAGCAACCACCGUGCCCCGUGACAGCGAUACUGCUGGCGUGCCCGCGAGUCGGGAACCCCACGUUCAAGUCCGCCUUCGACUCUUUCCCCCUCCUGCGGGCACUCCACGUGGCGAACGCCAAAGACAUCGUGCCACAGAACCCUCCCUCUAUGCUGCUAAUGUGGUACGUGGACAGCGCGACAGCAACGAUCUUGUACCUGCACGGUGUCGCAGGGGAUCAUGGCGACAAUGAGGACUUCAAACUAGUGGUUCCCCGUGACGUGGCGCUGGUGAACAAGACUACUGACCUGCUGGAAGACGAAUACCCAGUGCCGGCGAGCUGGUGGGUCGUCAACAAGAAAUGCAUGGUCAAGGGCACCGAUGGCCAAUGGAAACUUGAUGGCUUCGAAGAAGCAUAG
RNAcentral lists this ribosomal RNA (804 nucleotides) under Triticum aestivum (bread wheat). RNAcentral's name for it is "partial small subunit ribosomal RNA". The record is from RNAcentral. Lineage: Eukaryota; Viridiplantae; Streptophyta; Magnoliopsida; Poales; Poaceae.